AAUAAGUAAUAGGGGGUAAACUGGGUAGGGAGAAAAUGUAAGAUAUUCAAAAUUUAUUUAUUUGCGAUAACGAAUAAAAAUUUGUCAACCAAACGUUUUGCUAUAAUUUUAUUAACAUUUCGUUCUGUAUUGGUACAGUUUUUUUUAUCUUUCAUUUAUACAUUUAAGGCCGUACAAAGUUUGGGCUUCAAAAGUCCACAUAAUUAUUGACUAUUUACAGAAAAUUUAUCCUUUUAAAACAUAAAAUGUUUCCAAAACAAUACGUUUCUACAAAGUAAAAUCAUUUCUCAAAACACUGCAAAAAAUUUCAUUUCGAUUGGUACAGGAGCAUUGUCAUAAAGUGUGUUGAAAUAAACAGUGGUAUAGCAAACAUCGAAUUCCCUCACAAAAUCUUGUUAGGC
This 401-nucleotide long non-coding RNA is filed under the name Mytilus galloprovincialis (Mediterranean mussel). The record is from RNAcentral. Lineage: Eukaryota; Metazoa; Mollusca; Bivalvia; Mytilida; Mytilidae.